This 111-nucleotide microRNA precursor is filed under the name Nicotiana tabacum (common tobacco). RNAcentral's name for it is "miR156b stem-loop (nta-MIR156b)". Its record names the gene nta-MIR156b. The stretch from base 10 to 100 matches the Rfam family "mir-156 microRNA precursor family". Rfam says of the family: This family represents the plant microRNA (miRNA) precursor mir-156. Animal miRNAs are transcribed as ~70nt precursors and subsequently processed by the Dicer enzyme to give a ~22nt product. Lineage: Eukaryota; Viridiplantae; Streptophyta; Magnoliopsida; Solanales; Solanaceae. The record is from miRBase by way of RNAcentral.
UUAAAGGAGGUGACAGAAGAGAGUGAGCACCCAUGGUGUUUUCUUACAUGAGAUAUAUAUUCAUGCUUGAAGCUAUGCGUGCUCACUCUCUAUCUGUCACCCACUGUUUUC